AUGGGCUCGACUCCUCUCCCUCUCGCCCACGAAGUCACCGCCGCCGCCGCCCACGCCGGCCGCUUCCGGCGAGCUCCGGCGCUGCGCAGCACAGCCCCGAGCUCCCCAUGCUCCGCGCCUCCCUCCCCUCCGGCCAGAUUCUCAUCUCCCGGCCUCUACCGCCCGCUCGCAACCACACCUCCAUGGCUAGGGUUCCGGGCAGUGCUUCGUCGGCGCGUCUCCGGCGGCCCCAGAUGCAGAUGGAGCACGCCAUGGGAGUUCCCCAUCCACCAUGGUCGCUGUCGUCAAGGGCUUCUUCAAGGAGAUGUGAAGGACGCCAUCGACCUGCAGCUACUCAAGGGUGAUCUAGCGAGUUAUCUUGAGACAAAAAGUCGCCUGCAAUCUUAUAAAGUGAUCAGAUUUGCCCCUGAGACUGCAAGGUCCCUCAAAGAGAAGCGUUUUUCAUGUGCUCCUGAAUCUGGUGUGCGGUAUGAUGGAGUUUACAUAUUGAGAACUGUUGGAGGAAGACUGGUAUUCAGCGCCGUUGGCCGCUCUGCCUACCGAGUGCCACCCCGCCGCCUCCUCCCACCCCCCACCUGGGACCUCACCGCCUGCUCCCCGCCCGGCACACCCACAACGCUUGAGGCUGAGCAGAUGCCAUUGGCCCGUGGGCACGGAAGCAGAGUCCAGGAUGGUGAUGGUGCCAAGGAGGACUCUCGGACGUCGACCGGUUGCAUCGUUGCUGCCGUAUCCAUGGAGUGGCGCGGCUCCAACCACUCUGAGAUGAUAUUCCUCUCUCUUUCUUUCCUGAAAGAACUAAGAAUCUUGUGUCAUCCUUUUUUUUAA
This 825-nucleotide ribosomal RNA is filed under the name Triticum aestivum (bread wheat). Its description in RNAcentral is "partial small subunit ribosomal RNA". Lineage: Eukaryota; Viridiplantae; Streptophyta; Magnoliopsida; Poales; Poaceae. The record is from RNAcentral.